AUUGAACGCUGGCGGCAUGCCUUACACAUGCAAGUCGAACGGUAACAGGUCUUCGGAUGCUGACGAGUGGCGAACGGGUGAGUAAUACAUCGGAACGUGCCCGAUCAUGGGGGAUAACGAAGCGAAAGCUUUGCUAAUACCGCAUACGAUCUACGGAUGAAAGCAGGGGACCGCAAGGCCUUGCGCGAACGGAGCGGCCGAUGGCAGAUUAGGUAGUUGGUGGGAUAAAAGCUUACCAAGCCGACGAUCUGUAGCUGGUCUGAGAGGACGACCAGCCACACUGGGACUGAGACACGGCCCAGACUCCUACGGGAGGCAGGAGUGGGGAAUUUUGGACAAUGGGCGAAAGCCUGAUCCAGCCAUGCCGCGUGCAGGAUGAAGGCCUUCGGGUUGUAAACUGCUUUUGUACGGAACGAAAAGACUCUGGUUAAUACCUGGGGUCCAUGACGGUACCGUAAGAAUAAGCACCGGCUAACUACGUGCCAGCCGCCGCCGUAA
Molecule: ribosomal RNA, 498 nt
Filed under: uncultured bacterium
Lineage: Bacteria
Description: partial 16S ribosomal RNA
Rfam family: Bacterial small subunit ribosomal RNA
Source: RNAcentral